This 85-nucleotide transfer RNA is filed under the name Felis catus (domestic cat). It matches the Rfam family "tRNA". From Rfam's summary of the family: Transfer RNA (tRNA) molecules are approximately 80 nucleotides in length. Their secondary structure includes four short double-helical elements and three loops (D, anti-codon, and T loops). Further hydrogen bonds mediate the characteristic L-shaped molecular structure. tRNAs have two regions of fundamental functional importance: the anti-codon, which is responsible for specific mRNA codon recognition, and the 3' end, to which the tRNAs corresponding amino acid is attached (by aminoacyl-tRNA synthetases). tRNAs cope with the degeneracy of the genetic code in two manners: having more than one tRNA (with a specific anti-codon) for a particular amino acid; and 'wobble' base-pairing, i.e. permitting non-standard base-pairing at the 3rd anti-codon position. Lineage: Eukaryota; Metazoa; Chordata; Mammalia; Carnivora; Felidae. The record is from Rfam by way of RNAcentral.
GCCUGAGUGGCUCAGUCGGUUAAGCAUCCGACUUCGGCUCAGGUCAUGAUCUCACGGUUCGUGGGUUCGAGCCCCACAUCAGGCU